GAUGAACGCUAGCGGCAGGCUUAACACAUGCAAGUCGAGGGGCAACACGGGUAGCAAUACCUGGUGGCGACCGGCGCAAGGGUGCGUAACGCGUGAGCAACAUGCCCUAUACAGGGGGAUAAUCCAGGGAAACUUGGUCUAAUAUCCCAUAGUAUUUAGAGGUGGCAUCACCACUAAAUUAAAGCUUCGGUGGUAUAGGAUUGGCUCGCGUGACAUUAGCUGGAUGGUGGGGUAACGGCUCACCAUGGCGAUGAUGUCUAGGGGUUCUGAGAGGAAGACCCCCCACACUGGGACUGAGACACGGCCCAGACUCCUACGGGAGGCAGCAGUGAGGAUAUUGGACAAUGGAUGGAAAUCUGAUCCAGCCAUGCCGCGUGCAGGAAGACGGCCCUAUGGGUUGUAAACUGCUUUUAAUGGGACAAUAAGGUCUACGUGUAGACUGAUGAGAGUACCAUAUGAAUAAGCAUCGGCUAACUCCG
Molecule: ribosomal RNA, 479 nt
Filed under: uncultured bacterium
Lineage: Bacteria
Description: bacterial SSU rRNA
Rfam family: Bacterial small subunit ribosomal RNA
Source: RNAcentral